RNAcentral lists this ribosomal RNA (1494 nucleotides) under human gut metagenome. Its description in RNAcentral is "bacterial LSU rRNA". It matches the Rfam family "Bacterial large subunit ribosomal RNA", at positions 474 to 1973 of the family's 2925-position model. The record is from RNAcentral.
GAGGGUGUCAGCUACGAGCUGGACAUACUGUGAAGGAAAGGUUAAAAGAACCCCGGGAGGGGAGUGAAAUAGAUCCUGAAACCGCAUACAUACAAACAGUAGGAGCCUCGUUAAGGGGUGACUGCGUACCUUUUGCAUAAUGGGUCAGCGACUUACGUUUAAUGGCGAGCUUAACCGUAUAGGGGAGGCGUAGCGAAAGCGAGUUCGAACAGAGCGUUCAGUCGUUAGGCGUAGACCCGAAACCAGAUGAUCUAUCCAUGGCCAGGUUGAAGGUGUGGUAACACACACUGGAGGACCGAACCGACUAGUGUUGCAAAAUUAGCGGAUGAGCUGUGGAUAGGGGUGAAAGGCUAAACAAAUCUGGAGAUAGCUGGUUCUCCCCGAAAACUAUUGAGGUAGUGCCUCGUGUAUGACUCCAGGGGGUAGAGCACUGUUAUGGCUAGGGGGACAUGGCGUCUUACCAAACCAUGGCAAACUCCGAAUACUUGGAAGUUUGAGCACGGGAGACAGAGCACCGGGUGCUAACGUCCGGACUCAAGAGGGAAACAACCCAGACCGCCGGCUAAGGUCCCUAAUAUUGACUAAGUGGAAAACGAAGUGGAAAGGCUAAGACAGUCAGGAAGUUGGCUUAGAAGCAGCCAUCCUUCAAAGAAAGCGUAAUAGCUCACUGAUCGAGUCUUUCUGCGCGGAAGAUGUAACGGGGCUAAGUCAAUAACCGAAGCCGCGGAUUCACACUUAUGUGUGAGUGGUAGGGGAGCGUUCUGUAAGCCUGCGAAGGUGACUCGUAAGGGUUGCUGGAGGUAUCAGAAGUGCGAAUGCUGACAUGAGUAACGUUAAAGCGGGUGAAAAGCCCGCUCGCCGUAAGCCCAAGGUUUCCUGCUCUACGUUCAUCGGAGCAGGGUGAGUCGGCCCCUAAGGUGAGGCUGAGAAGCGUAACUGAUGGGAACAAGGUUAAUAUUCCUUGACCACCGCUGAAUGCGAAGGGGGGACGGAGUAUUGAAGAUCAUCCGGGUGUUGGAUAUCCCGGUUUGCGAGCGUAGGAGGCUGACAGGCAAAUCCGUCAGCGAAUCUCCGAGGCAAAGCAUCGAGCUCUCUUUUGAGCGAAGUGAUUGGAUGUGCUUCCAGGAAAAGCCUCUAAGCUCCAGUUCAGCGGGACCGUACCGCAAACCGACACUGGUGGGCGAGCUGAAUAUGCUCAGGCGCUUGAGAGAACUCAGGAGAAGGAACUCGGCAAAUUGACACCGUAACUUCGGGAUAAGGUGUGCCUUUGUAGCGUGGAGGGAGAAACACCCCGAGCGCGAAGAGGUCUCAGAUAAUCGGUGGCUGCGACUGUUUAUUAAAAACACAGCACUCUGCAAAGACGAAAGUCGACGUAUAGGGUGUGAUGCCUGCCCGGUGCUGGAAGAUUAAUUGAUGGGGUGCAAGCUCCUGAUCGAAGUCCCAGUAAACGGCGGCCGUAACUAUAACGGUCCUAAGGUAGCGAAAUUCCUUGUC